Triticum aestivum (bread wheat) is the source of this 2519-nucleotide long non-coding RNA. RefSeq lists it as uncharacterized. Lineage: Eukaryota; Viridiplantae; Streptophyta; Magnoliopsida; Poales; Poaceae. The record is from RefSeq and is a predicted model, not a curated record. The transcript has 3 exons.
UCCAUCUCUUCCUCCCGAGUCCCGACUAUGGGCUAGGGUUCCAUAUGCCGCCGCCGAUAUCUCGCCCCCUCACCAUAUACGCUUUUCCAUCCCCACCUAAGACCGAAACCUACUCACGCCUCUCCUUGUUCCCCCACGCCAUUGCAGUCCCAACCACGAACGCCGACGCCGGCUGUCGCCGUCACGCCGCCAGCCAUUCGUGCCUCGCAGUCGUCGCAGCCGGUGCUACCCCAUAGAACGAGCGCCGAGGAGAAACACUGCGGCGACGUGUUCUUCCCUUCCCUGUCCGCGAGAGCAGUUCAUCCCCAUCGUCAGACCAGAUCAACUCCUCCUGCAACGUCCAAUCUUUUCAUCCACACGACGACAGCUGUAGCGCAAUGACCCAGCGUCUACAGCAUCAACAACGCAACUACCCAGUGAUGAGCUAUUCCUCGUAUCCCUCUCCCUCUCCUCAGUAUUAUACGAUUCUUGUUACUUUGUGCAUGUGUCUUCAUUUUCGUGCCAUUUAGUGUUCUUGUGUAUCGUGAUGUUGGGACAUAGCUGCAGCAACUCAUAGGUUUGGAAGGCCAAGAAAAAAGGCGUGGUUAUAGAAGACACUUUAUUAUAAAGCUUGUGUAAGACCAGCUACAGUCUGAAUGAACUACAUAGCUGCAGAAACUAGGGAGUUGUUUGAUGAAGUGCCGCAGAGGGUUGUUUGAUCAAAUGACGGACAGGGAUUUGGUUGUUGGAUUUUACAGAUGGUGUUCUUCUUUUUAACAGGGGAAGAUAACCACAUGGGAACAAGGAGGAGGCGCCCUGUGGUUGUUGUGGGUCUGAAGGCAGAUAUUGAUAAGGAAGGUGAGAUUUUUAGUUAAUACUGCAAGAUUUUCGAGGAGGUUGUGAAAGCCGUCGCCUUCAUGCUUCCUGCUACCAAUUCCAAAGACGCCAUCUCCCCUCUAGACAUCGUCACAUUUUCUCGCCAAGGAACAAUUUGGGCCUACACACAGAUUAUAGGCGAAGGCCUUGGGUCGCUUGGCAUCAAAGAGCUCGAGCUGCUUGAAAAACAACUUGAUUCAUCCUCAAGGUACAUAAGAUCCACAAGACUAAUUGAUUGCUUUCCAUAUAAUCAUGAUUUAGAAGAUAGGAGCACUAGCUCUUUCAUUAUGUACAGAAAACAAUACAAAUUGUUCCUUUGUACUGCAUGUUUCUACUCUGUUAAAUAAUCAUAGGCAAUAUUAUGCUGCUAGAUGGUCAUGAUCACUUUUGACCAGUGUUGUAGGUAGAUUACACCUAUUUUUGUCUUGCUUUGUUUUUAAGUAAAGUUGAUUAGGGUGUGUGCCAUGAUCAAGCAAUAAGCAAAAUGGAGUCUCUUCAUGCUGCAAAUAUAGCCCAGUUUAAGUUCAAUGGACAAAACACAUCUCAGGUUAAUGAGCUUCUCUGUACACUACAUCUCAAUUGAACUAUAUGCAGUUUUCAGCUUGACGUCUCUGAUUUAACAUCAUUAUUCUAGGACUGGAAAAUGUUACAUUAGAGAUAUUGAUUCCGUAAUGCAAUGCAUCAUAUGUCCUACAAACUACGAAUAAUUUGGCUGUGUGAGCCCGGCCUCGAUAUGUUACAACAGAAAAAAUGUUGAUCAAUUUCAUGAUUGCAGACACGACAUAUGCUUCAUCAUCUCACUGAUCUCUAGAGGAAGGUAUGCUCUUAAGAAAAUAAAUUUGAUUAUAAUAUGUAUUCGUAUAUCUUCUCAAACAAAUUUGUUCAGACCUAAAAUUGACUAUUCCUAACAGCGCACUGAAUAAGUUUGCAGGAAGAGAUCUUGUGUGAAAAAUGUAUGUUCCCAUUACACGUAUUAAUUAGCUUAUGAAUUAUUUCCCUCAGAAGAAGUAAUUUAACUCUUCAUUUUCUAUCAUUUCUAGGACUUAAAAAUGUUUUCCCAAUUUUCCUUCCACCAUUUUUGUAACCCUCUGCAGAAUGGUCCGGGGAGGUUCACAACACUGUCUACUCAUCUGAUGGGAGAUCUGUAUUUGUUGUCUAUCGUGUGUCUAUGGAACUGAUGCAGAGGUACACUUUGUCUGGGAGUUAUAUGUGGUUCAGAUUGCUGCAUCUGGUUUGGUUUUACACUCAUCUUGCGUGCUCACUUUUUGAGAGUAUAACCAGUUUGUUGGUCCUAUUUGAUCAAUGGACGUGAUGGCGAGGCAUUGUGCUGUGCUGGCGGCCAUGAUGGUAACAUCGUCGAAGGCGGAGGCGACGGGUGCUUGUCGACGAAAGCGGCGCGGGGAUGGGGAAGGUGGAGUGGCGAGGGAUGGAGGCAGAGAAAGGCAGCUCCGGAGACGGAGUGGCGGCAAGAUUUGACGCGCUCGCCUGCAGAGCGCGUGCGCAAGAUUCUGUUUCCAGGUGGAGAGGGAGAAAGAGAAAGGGAGAAUGGAAGCCAAGUGAUAGACAAAGAGAGCGGAAGAUAGAAGACAGACAAUAACUUGUGUUAUCUUACUAAUUCUUUAUUUAUUUAAGACCCAUACAAAUGCACGCUGUAUGAUGGAAAC